GAGUUUGAUUAUGGCUCAGGAUGAACGCUAGCGGCAGGCCUAACACAUGCAAGUCGAGGGGUAGAGUGCUUCGGCACUUGAGACCGGCGUACGGGUGCGUAACGCGUGUACAAUCUACCUUUUGCUAAGGGAUAGCCCGAAGAAAUUUGGAUUAAUACCUUAUAGUAUUAUUUGGUGGCAUCAUUAAAUAAUUAAAGCUACGGUGGCAAAAGAUGAGUACGCGUCCCAUUAGCUAGUUGGAGUGGUAACGGCACACCAAGGCUACGAUGGGUAGGGGUUCUGAGAGGGAUGUCCCCCACACUGGUACUGAGACACGGACCAGACUCCUACGGGAGGCAGCAGUGAGGAAUAUUGGACAAUGGUCGGAAGACUGAUCCAGCCAUGCCGCGUGCAGGAUGACGGCCUUAUGGGUUGUAAACUGCUUUUGUAUGGGAAGAAUAAGGUCUACGUGUAGAUUGAUGACG
RNAcentral lists this ribosomal RNA (464 nucleotides) under Capnocytophaga cynodegmi. RNAcentral describes it as "bacterial SSU rRNA". It matches the Rfam family "Bacterial small subunit ribosomal RNA", at positions 9 to 474 of the family's 1533-position model. Lineage: Bacteria; Pseudomonadati; Bacteroidota; Flavobacteriia; Flavobacteriales; Flavobacteriaceae. The record is from RNAcentral.